Molecule: ribosomal RNA, 700 nt
Filed under: uncultured Flavobacterium sp.
Lineage: Bacteria; Pseudomonadati; Bacteroidota; Flavobacteriia; Flavobacteriales; Flavobacteriaceae
Description: bacterial SSU rRNA
Rfam family: Bacterial small subunit ribosomal RNA
Source: RNAcentral
UGCAAGUCGAGGGGUAUAGUAGCAAUACUAGAGACCGGCGCACGGGUGCGUAACGCGUAUGCAAUCUACCUUAUACAGAGGGAUAGCCCAGAGAAAUUUGGAUUAAUACCUCAUAGCAUAGCAACUUCGCAUGAAGUCACUAUUAAAGUUCCAACGGUAUAAGAUGAGCAUGCGUCCUAUUAGCUAGAUGGUAAGGUAACGGCUUACCAUGGCUACGAUAGGUAGGGGUCCUGAGAGGGAGAUCCCCCACACUGGUACUGAGACACGGACCAGACUCCUACGGGAGGCAGCAGUGAGGAAUAUUGGACAAUGGGCGCAAGCCUGAUCCAGCCAUGCCGCGUGCAGGAAGACGCAUCUAUGGUGUGUAAACUGCUUUUGUACGGGAAGAAACACUCCCUCGUGAGGGAGCUUGACGGUACCGUAAGAAUAAGGAUCGGCUAACUCCGUGCCAGCAGCCGCGGUAAUACGGAGGAUCCAAGCGUUAUCCGGAAUCAUUGGGUUUAAAGGGUCCGUAGGCGGUUUGGUAAGUCAGUGGUGAAAGCCCAUCGCUUAACGAUGGAACGGCCAUUGAUACUGCCAGACUUGAAUUACUGGGAAGUAACUAGAAUAUGUAGUGUAGCGGUGAAAUGCUUAGAUAUUACAUGGAAUACCAAUUGCGAAGGCAGGUUACUACCGGUGGAUUGACGCUGAUGGACGAAAG